Long non-coding RNA from Homo sapiens (human), 300 nucleotides. NCBI's taxonomy places the organism in Eukaryota, Metazoa, Chordata, Mammalia, Primates, Hominidae. The record is from Ensembl.
CACAGCAUGCACUGUUACUAAAAAGACGAUGCGUCCUCCUGGACCUGAGAUCUGUGUGAUCGUGGGAAAGCGACGAAAAACGAACAAAGGAACAGUAAAUGGAGUAACUUGGCUAGAAUAUGGCAGUAACUACAAGGCAUGUUCUGCUCUGGCACGAAGGAAAGGCUAUAUGAAGACAGAGCAAGAAGGUAGUUAUCUACAAGCCAGGAAGAGAGUCCUCACCAAAACACAACCAUGCUGGUACCCUGAUCUUCAACUUCCAGUCUUGAGCUGUUGAGAAAAUAAACUUUUAUUGUUUAA